AUUGAACGCUGGCGGCAGGCCUAACACAUGCAAGUCGAGCGGAUGAACGGAGCUCGCUCCUGGAUUCAGCGGCGGACGGGUGAGUAAUGCCUAGGUAUCUGCCCGGUAGUGGGGGAUAACGUACGGAAACGGGCGCUAAUACCCCAUACGCCCAGAGGUAGAAAGUGAGGGAUCUUCGGUCCUCACGCUAUCAGCUGAGACUAGGUCGUAUAAGCUAGUUGGAGGGGUAAAGGCCUACCAAGGCGACGAUCCGUAGCUGACCUGAGAGGAUGAUCGGUCACACUGGAACUGAGACACGGUCCAGACUCCUACGGGAGGCAGCAGUGGGGAAUAUUGCACAAUGGGCGAAAGCCUGAUCCAGCAACGCCGCGUGAGUGAAGAAGGUCUUCGGAUUGUAAAGCACUGUAAGUUGGGAGGAAGGACAGUAAGAUAAUACAUUGCUGUUUUGACGUUACCUAGAGAAUAAGCACCGGCUAACUUCGUG
RNAcentral lists this ribosomal RNA (484 nucleotides) under uncultured bacterium. Its description in RNAcentral is "partial 16S ribosomal RNA". It matches the Rfam family "Bacterial small subunit ribosomal RNA", at positions 30 to 507 of the family's 1533-position model. The record is from RNAcentral.